GCUAUAAUAAAAAGACUUUGCUCUAAAUCUUUACACAUUUUGAAAAAGGUCUCAAUUUUGCUUUUCUAGUUGCACCUCUUCAGCUUCAAAAUCCAGCUGUGGCCUAAAUACUCAGUGAAGACAUUCUAGCAGAUAUUAUGAAGAAACCUUAGACUAAUCUAAAUAUUACAUGAAACUAAAUAAGGCUGCUGUAAAGUCAAUAAUGAUCUGAGUAGUGGAUUGCCAUUUGCAACACAUGUAAUAGAGUAUUGCUAGUCACAACCGUUUUGCUGAAAUUAAAAACAGGACAAACUAAGAUGAUCCAGAGAGGGAAGAACACUGAUAGGUGAGCGUCAAGGAGGGAAGCACACUUAUGGAAUAAAAGAGUAUCUUCCCUGCUAUUGCAGCUAAUUGUUUUGGGCUG
Long non-coding RNA from Mauremys reevesii (Reeves's turtle), 403 nucleotides. RefSeq lists it as uncharacterized. The record is from RefSeq and is a predicted model, not a curated record. The transcript is spliced from 3 exons. NCBI's taxonomy places the organism in Eukaryota, Metazoa, Chordata, Testudines, Geoemydidae.